This 64-nucleotide transfer RNA is filed under the name Diplorchis hangzhouensis. RNAcentral describes it as "tRNA-Gln". Lineage: Eukaryota; Metazoa; Platyhelminthes; Monogenea; Polystomatidea; Polystomatidae. The record is from RNAcentral.
AAUAGGGUGUUGUAAUUUGUCAUAUCAUAUUUUGGUUGUGAAGGUAGUUAGAGACUUCCUAUUA